AAGUCGUAACAAGGUCUCCGUUGGUGAACCAGCGGAGGGAUCAUUACAGAGUUGACCACUGCGUCGUGGCUCUGCCAACCCCGCGAACCUUACCCCUUGCUGUUGCCUCGGCGGCGGGCGCCUCAGCGCGCCCACGCCGCCGACGGCCCCAAAACAAAACGCACGUACCGUCUCGGCGCGCCGUCUGAACAGAAACAUAAAACGAGUAAAAACUUUUGGCAACGGAUCUCUUGGCUCUG
This 239-nucleotide unclassified non-coding RNA is filed under the name fungal sp. RNAcentral describes it as "partial internal transcribed spacer region". The stretch from base 1 to 46 matches the Rfam family "Eukaryotic small subunit ribosomal RNA", at positions 1786 to 1831 of the family's 1831-position model. The record is from RNAcentral. Lineage: Eukaryota; Fungi.